GAUGAAGAACGUAGCGAAAUGCGAUAAGUAGUGUGAAUUGCAGAAUUCAGUGAAUCAUCGAAUCUUUGAACGCACAUUGCGCCCCUUGGUAUUCCAUGGGGCAUGCCUGUUCGAGCGUCAUUUGUACCUUCAAGCUUUGCUUGGUGUUGGGUGUUUGUCCCUCGGGACUCGCCUUAAAGUCAUUGGCAGCCAGUGUUUUGGUUUUGAAGCGCAGCACAAGUCGCGAUUCAAGACUAUCCGCCCGCUUCCACAAGCCUUUUUCACUUUUGACCUCGGAUCAGGUAGGGAUACCCGCUGAACUUAAGCAUAUCAAUAAGCGGAGGA
RNAcentral lists this unclassified non-coding RNA (324 nucleotides) under soil metagenome. RNAcentral's name for it is "partial contains 5.8S ribosomal RNA, internal transcribed spacer 2, and large subunit ribosomal RNA". The stretch from base 1 to 120 matches the Rfam family "5.8S ribosomal RNA", at positions 35 to 154 of the family's 154-position model. The record is from RNAcentral.